This is a non-coding RNA of Cinara cedri, 452 nucleotides long. Lineage: Eukaryota; Metazoa; Arthropoda; Insecta; Hemiptera; Aphididae. The record is from the annotation of a GenBank genome assembly.
AGGAAAAUAUUGUGUUCCAAGUACAUUAAAAUCUAUUCAAUACCGAAAAAUCCGAAAUACGUGAGAAUAUAUGUCUAUAAAACUCUAUAUGGACAACGAUAUACGCGUAUAUACUACAGUUUUUAAUCGAAUAUAAUAAAUAAGCUUUCGAUGUUCGAGAAACGACUGAGUGAGAGAUUUGUAGACCUAUAGAGUCGAUUUGUACAUUAGUCUAUACCCACCAUUGAACCCAAAUUUAUGGAACUUCCAAAUAGCUCGGUGAAACAUGAUUACACACGGUCCUUAUCGGCGAUACCCUUUUAGGCGUACGGUUGCGCGCGCUUCAUCAUUUCUAUUACCAUGCAACGUUGCCAAAUAAUAUGUAAACUAUAGUACUAUAAUUAUACUGUAAACAUGGUAUCUACCUAAAUAAUAUAUUAACAGCAACUUUUAUAUUAGAUUUACAAGAAUUA